UUCCUUUUGUCAAUUACUAUUUGUAGCCACAAAAGUAAAAGUUGUCAUCUGGACAUCUUUAAUCAAAUAGCGACCAAUUAUUUUCUCUCUAACAAGGACUAUUUUAGAGUCCUUUGUUACUUCAAACCUUCCUCCACCACCAGAAUAUUCACAUCUAAUAGCAUCCAACAUACCCAAUGAAAUGAGAUUCAAUUCAAGUGUAGGCACAUGUCGCACAUUUCUUAGAUGUGUUAUGGAUCCAUCAAUAAUUUUGAGAGAAAUAGAUCCAAUGGCAACAAUUUUGUAGACAUUGUCAUUACCCAUAAGCACUUCUCCUCCACCCCAAGGUCUAUAGGUUGUAAACCAUUUUGUACAGCCAGAGUCCAGAAUCCAAUUUUGUGUUUCUUGGGAAGCUAAGGUUGAUGUGCUUUGUUUGGAUGUUGUUAAGGCCACAAAAGAAGUAUAAGGGCUCUAUUCUACCACUGAUGCCUUGGCCUUUACCUCUUCAGCCUAUACUCCUUUCUUACUUUUCUGAUUUAAAUUUUUCUUCAAGAAAAAAAUAGUCUUCUAUCAAGUGUCCUUUCUUAUGACAAAAAUUACAUUUGAGUUUGCUUUUAUCUUUCUAAUUUUUACUAUCUUUCUCUUAAUUCUUGUUCUUUCGUUUUCAUACAGACCUUCACCAUUAUUCUGGUCUUUCUUCUGAGCAAGAAUCUCAAGCUCUUUGAUUUUGAUGGUUGAAAUAACACUAUUAAUGGGAAACAAAUACAUCAUUCAAGAAAGGGAGUCUAAAAAACAAAACUAUGGAAAGAGUUACCAAGAGAAGGACGAAAAGGUAUUCAUCAUGUUGAAUGUUUUAGAAACUGAAGAAUCAAAACGAGGUAGAAGAUAGAGGAGAAAUACACAAAGACUUAAGUGGUUCGGUCAAGGUAAGACCUACAUCCACUGUGCAAUCAGGAGCCAAACUUUGUUAAUCAGAGAAGAAAAUUAUAGUAUAAUCAGAUAAGUUUUCUUGACCCAACUCUCUUAGCCUUAAAACUUUUAUAGAGAUAAAUAUACAGCUCUUUACAACUGAAAUACCAUAUUUUAGUUUAACAGAGAGUUUUGUUUUAAUAACUCUUCAAAAUCAAUACCCAAACACCCUCAAAAGCAUUUAAGAAUAGUGGCCCAACAAAUAAAAUAAUAUAGUACUAUAUGACGUAUCAAAUUGUGAGUGGAAAGAGUACGUGCAUAUGGGUGGUAAUGGUUCGUCUGUAAAUUUAUGGGGAAGAAGGUAGGCAAAGUGAAUAAAAACUAAGAAGCAUAUGAACUACAUCCAAACUCUAAGGACCAAAGAUAUGUUUUUCUCUAUAUUUAAUAAAAUGGGGAUACAUAGAAAUCUUUGUGUGGAAGUUCGAGUCUAUUUGAUAGAAGGAAAUGAGUUUCAACUCCAUGUAUUUGACAAAGUUUAUAUAUAUAGUGUAUAUAUACUAUGUAUACUGAAAAAAUCAAACCUCUAACCUCAACACCUCUGAUCACCCUUGCCAAAUCUGCUAUUUGGAUAAUCCUCCAUCACCUGUUUCUUCUUGAUUUUUCUUUCAUCUUGAGGUUUUGAAUUACAUGGUUUCUGGAAUUUCAAUCUGUCUUAGGUUAACUAAAAUUUAAUUUUUAGGGCAGUUUUUUCUGCAUCCUUCUACUAAUUUACCUUCAUUGGAGUACUCAAAUCCUAUGAGAAAGAAUGAGAAGGGAGUAGAAACAACAAGAGAGAAGAGGGAGAGACACAAAUACCUACAAAUAAACUUUAAUUUAAUAAAAUUAGGUGCCAAAAGAGUAUAAUUGAUCAAAUUGACGUGAUUAUAAUCACCCUAUAGUUUAGAGGUGGUUUUUAAAAAAAAAAAGUUUUCAUUUAAAAGGUAAUGGAGUGUAAAAAUAUAUCAAUUAGAAAACGGGUGAAUAUUUAAAAAUUGACAUGAUAGCUGAGUUUUUAUUUAAUUUUUUUAGUAUAAAAAAUUGAUUCUAUAUCAGAUUCGAAAUAUUGAUGUCGAUAGAAAUAUCAAGGUCUCGAUUUGGUGAAAAUAUCAAUAUCGAUGAAAAUUUUGGGAAACUUUAUGGAAAUUAAUGAGAAUUGUUGGAAAUUGUUAUGAUUAGUUACUGAAACUUUGAUUGUGGCUAAAUUAUACUAUAAUUGAUCAUUUUUAAUCAUCAUUUCUAUAAAAUAAGAUAGCUUUUAGAUGCAUAUUGUAAAGUAUAUAUAUAAAUGUUGAUGCGGGAGUAUAAAUUUAAAAAGAAAAUGAAAAAAUAAUUACAAAAUUUAAGGACAUGAAAUAUUUUCAUACAAAAUAAUAUUAGAUUGUUUAUUAUAAAAUGAAAUGUACACAAAAAUAAAAAGUCACAACGUUAAACUUGCAUGACAUGACAUAACAUUAUAAAGAUGUAAAAACCAUAACAUUAAACAUAAAAGAGAUACAAAAAACAUAAGAUUAAAUAUAACACAACAAUGGAAAAAGAAAAAGAUAACUCUACAAGUAGAUAGAGUUUAAGAGAAAACAAGAUAAAUACAAGAAAACUCACAUCAAUUCAAGUUUGAGGUGAAAUGAUGUAAAACUUUAAUGAAAAGAAUGUUGGAAUUUAUGCCCUAAAUCUUGUAGUCUGUAAAUUAUAAACAAAUUAUUGAAUAAAUAGAAUAUUAUUUAUUUUGAAAUAAAUAAGGUGUUCUUUAUUAUUUGCAUAACUCAAAUCCAAUAAACUAAAACUAAGAUCCAAGGUUGUUUAUUGUAACUUGAACAGUAUGUGGUUGACAAAUAAGUAGAUUAUGUUGAAGUAAUAACCUAAAAAGUCUAUAAUAUAUGGAUAAGAUUGGGUGUCUUAUUCUGGUAAACACUAUGAAUAUAACCUGCUUUGUAACUGUUACAAAUAUUAUAAGUGUUACAAACGAUUUGAUCAAAAUCGUUCAUGUGGAGACAUGUGAGUAGGGCUAUCCUAUACAAUGAGUUUGUAUAAGGCCGGAUCACAAAAUAUAUAAUCUCUCUUUGUAACACCAUUAAUUGAAGAGAUUAAUAUUUUAAACGAUAAUCAUGUAACUCGAUCUCAAUCUGAGUGAGUUAUGAACUCCUGCUUAUGAGGAUAGUUCUUUGAUUUGUAUGGGUAAGAGUGACCUUAGUUGUCGACUCAAUAGGCCUACCAUUUUAGGAACGAUCAGAGUUAGGAGUUGGAAACAUAACUUCACAAGAUAGAAUUAACUCCUUCCUACCUUUAGGUAAGUAAAUGAUUUAUUCCCUUAAGUGGUAACUCCGGGACUUGAACAAUGAGACACCAUUCUUUCACUGGCCCAAGAAAAAUUUGAUUUAUGGUAUGAUCAUAAAUAGAUUGUUCAUUAAAAGACCAGUAGUACGCAAGGAGCAAGAGGUAAUUACAUGGGCAAAAUGAUAAUUACAAACUCAUAUUUAUUUUAUUAGAGAAUAAUUCUCUGUAAAAGAUGAUUCUCUUCCCAACCACACUAGGAUCCCACAAUCCUCCUUUAUUCUAAGAGGGUAGCAAAGAAGACCUUUGGUCAUGUUCCUGUUGUGAACAUGUUGUGUUUUAUUUAGAAAACUAAGAGAAGAUCUUUGAUGUUUUGAUCUAUAGAGGUAGUUAACUUUCUUCCCUAUCUUAUAGAGAAGCAUGCUUAACACUGGACUCGUAUGUUUGUGCUAUAUAAUAAUUCCUACAACAAAAUUGGGACAAAAUCGAUCACAUGCUUCUACAGGAAUUUGAUUCCUUCAAAGAAAAGUUUGAGUGAAGUAAAAAAUAAAUACGUGGUUUCUUAGGUAAUAAAAAAUUUUUUAGGGUAAAAUAGAAAAACUUUCAUUGAACUAGCAUAGUUAAAAGAAAAAAAAAAAAACAAACAAACAAACAAUAUUUUGGUGGAAAGAUCGAAAUUUCGAUAAAAAUUUUGAAAAUUCAAGAAAUUAAAAAACAUGAAAUUCUCUCUGACCCGAAUUUCGAUAUUUUGACCGAAAUUUUCUACUAUGGUUCUAUGGUCUAUAUCGUACAUCGAAUAAGCUUUACUUUUAGGCCCUGCUCAAUUUUUAUUGAUAUUCCUGUGUUUUUGAAAGAUUUUUACUUCUUUUUUACAAACAACUAAAUAGAUAAAUUUAGCAACAAUAAAAAAAAUGAACAAAAGGUAAAAGUUCAAAAUUCAAUUUGAAACAUCAAGUCAAAAUUAGGUGAUAGGAACCUCCUUUUAAGGCAUCAAAUUAUUUUUUAUAUUUUAUUUAAUAAUUUUGAUGUAAUUUAAGUAUUUUUCAAUUUUAUUCUUUGUAUCACAUUUUAAGUAGUAUUUUUGUAAUUUUAUUAUAAAUCAUGAUGUAACAUUAGAGUUUUCUCGGGAGGCUCUUUUAGGUUGUUUGGAGAAGUUUUACGAUAAAUUGAAUUUUGUCCUUAGUGCUUUCUCUUUUAAGUUUAGCUAGAGAGCUUCUUGAAUUUUACAAUUCAUAUAUGUUGAGUUGUAUGCGAAAGAUAUUCAAAUGGGAUUGACCAUCCUAUAUUGUAGAGUAUUCAAAUCUUGUGCCAAAAACCUUGUUUUUUGUCUCAAAAUAUUUGAUUUUAAGGUAACCCAUGUCUAACCCAAUUCUUAGUGUUGAAAUCGAGUUGAUUUAGGGAUUUUAGUAUCAAGAAUCAAGGAUUCUCAUUCCAAAAGAGUUUCUAAUUCCAAUUUGCUAGAAUUUUUAUAUCAUUAGGGUAUGGAUUGAUUUUUUUCCAAAGGGAAAAAAAUACAAAUAUUGUUAUUCUAAAUGAAUUUAUGAAGGAAGGCACUUAUCAAGAAUGUCCCCCCCCCCCCCAUCGGCCCACAAUUUUGAUGUUGACAAAAUUUUGGACCUAGGGAAAAGUUCAAUGGACAAUAGCAAAUUGUAGGCCAGUUAGAUUAUUGCUUCAUUUGUUUGUUUUCAAAUAUCAUAAAAUACCUAAGCAUUGGAGAAACUAUUUUUUCCUUUUUUUUUUUUUUCUUAAUCU
Molecule: non-coding RNA, 4947 nt
Organism: Benincasa hispida (wax gourd)
Lineage: Eukaryota; Viridiplantae; Streptophyta; Magnoliopsida; Cucurbitales; Cucurbitaceae
Source: RefSeq, a predicted model, not a curated record